UCCUGCUCCGCGAAAAGUCGCCCAGCGUGGCGGCCUGCACCUCUCCAAGUGAGAGUUCCGCUAGCGGAGUGGGUUACU
RNAcentral lists this non-coding RNA (78 nucleotides) under unclassified sequences. RNAcentral describes it as "DUF3800-IX RNA". It matches the Rfam family "DUF3800-IX RNA". Rfam says of the family: Actinobacteria, Firmicutes (1 example), Nitrospirae, Proteobacteria, Verrucomicrobia (1 example). The record is from Rfam by way of RNAcentral.